AAGGCGAAACCGAAAAGCCUGAAUAGAAUAGGAA
This 34-nucleotide non-coding RNA is filed under the name unclassified sequences. The record is from Rfam.